Molecule: non-coding RNA, 514 nt
Organism: Trichechus manatus latirostris (Florida manatee)
Lineage: Eukaryota; Metazoa; Chordata; Mammalia; Sirenia; Trichechidae
Source: the annotation of a RefSeq genome assembly
GCCUCCUUGUUCUGGGUUAGGGUCUUUGUGAAGAAGGUUCCCCACCCAGACACACAUGGAGUCCCUGCCAGUCUUCCUCUACCUGUUGGCCAUUCUCCACGGUGUUGAAGCCAAGGAUCACAUUGUGCAAUGGGGAGAGGGGACAGUGGUCUCCUCGCAAAAGCUCAGUCUCGCUUGUGCCACCUACACACUUCCAGUUUCUGAAUCUUCUGUGUCGUGGAUCCGCCUUCGUCCAGGAAAGGGGCUGGAGUGGGUCGGUGUAAUAUGGGCUAACGGAAACACCAACUACAGCCCCAACCUUCAGUCUCGGGUGAGCAUCUCCAGGGACACAGGAAAGAACCAGGUGUUCUUACAGCUGAGCACUGUGACUGCUGAGGACACAGGCAUGUAUUACUGCACCCAAGACACUGUGGUCCAGAUUCACUGGGAGCCCAGACAUAAACCUCCCCUGCAGGGGACAGGAGGGGCUCAGCUGCAGAGGGUGUUCAGGAAUCACCAAAGCAUAACCCAGUAA